RNAcentral lists this ribosomal RNA (452 nucleotides) under uncultured bacterium. RNAcentral's name for it is "bacterial SSU rRNA". It matches the Rfam family "Bacterial small subunit ribosomal RNA", at positions 340 to 786 of the family's 1533-position model. The record is from RNAcentral.
UACGGAAGGCAGCAGGGGGAAUAUUGCACAAUGGGCGCAAGCCUGAUGCAGCCAUGCCGCGUGUAUGAAGAAGGCCUUCGGGUUGUAAAGUACUUUCAGUCGUGAGGAAGGUGUUAAGGUUAAUAACCUUAGCAAUUGACGUUAGCGACAGAAGAAGCACCGGCUAACUCCGUGCCAGCAGCCGCGGUAAUACGGAGGGUGCGAGCGUUAAUCGGAAUUACUGGGCGUAAAGGGCACGCAGGCGGUUAAUUAAGUUGGAUGUGAAAUCCCCGGGCUUAACCUGGGAAUGGCAUUCAAGACUGGUUAGCUAGAGUCUUGUAGAGGGGGUAGAAUUCCAUGUGUAGCGGUGAAAUGCGUAGAGAUGUGGAGGAAUACCGGUGGCGAAGGCGGCCCCUGGACAAAGGCUGACGCUCAUGUGCGAAAGCGUGGGGAGCAAACAGGGAUUAGAUACC